CUCAACUGUGUAUCCCUGGCUGG
This 23-nucleotide non-coding RNA is filed under the name Cricetulus griseus (Chinese hamster). Lineage: Eukaryota; Metazoa; Chordata; Mammalia; Rodentia; Cricetidae. The record is from RNAcentral.